This 508-nucleotide ribosomal RNA is filed under the name uncultured bacterium. Its description in RNAcentral is "partial 16S ribosomal RNA". It matches the Rfam family "Bacterial small subunit ribosomal RNA", at positions 30 to 523 of the family's 1533-position model. The record is from RNAcentral.
AUUGAACGCUGGCGGCAUGCCUUACACAUGCAAGUCGAACGGCAGCGGGGGAGAAGCUUGCUUUUCCUGCCGGCGAGUGGCGAACGGGUGAGUAAUACAUCGGAACGUGCCCUGUAGUGGGGGAUAACUAGUCGAAAGAUUAGCUAAUACCGCAUACGACCUGAGGGUGAAAGUGGGGGACCGCAAGGCCUCAUGCUAUAGGAGCGGCCGAUGUCUGAUUAGCUAGUUGGUGGGGUAAAGGCCUACCAAGGCGACGAUCAGUAGCUGGUCUGAGAGGACGAUCAGCCACACUGGGACUGCGACACGGCCCAGACUCCUACGGGAGGCAGCAGUGGGGAAUUUUGGACAAUGGGCGAAAGCCUGAUGCAGCAAUGGCGCGUGUGUGAAGAAGGCCUUCGGGUUGUAAAGCACUUUUGUCCGGAAAGAAAUGGCUCUGGUUAAUACCUGGGGUCGAUGACGGUACCGGAAGAAUAAGGACCGGCUAACUACGUGCCAGCCGCCGCGGUAA